Molecule: non-coding RNA, 72 nt
Organism: Podarcis lilfordi (Lilford's wall lizard)
Lineage: Eukaryota; Metazoa; Chordata; Lepidosauria; Squamata; Lacertidae
Source: the annotation of a GenBank genome assembly
ACCUGGCAUAGCUCAGUCAGUAGAGUGUAAGAUUUCAUUCUGGGAUCAUGAGUUCGAGUCUCACGUUGGGCA